UACAGAGGGUGCGAGCGUUAAUCGGAAUUACUGGGCGUAAAGCGUGCGUAGACGGCUAUCUAAGUCUGCUGUGAAAGCCCUGGGCUCAACCUGGGAAUUGCAGUGGAUACUGGGCGACUAGAGUGUGGUAGAGGAUAGUGGAAUUUCCGGUGUAGCAGUGAAAUGCGUAGAGAUCGGAAGGAACAUCUGUGGCGAAGGCGACUAUCUGGGCCAGCACUGACACUGAGGCACGAAAGCGUGGGGAGCAAACAGG
Molecule: ribosomal RNA, 253 nt
Filed under: uncultured bacterium
Lineage: Bacteria
Description: partial 16S ribosomal RNA
Rfam family: Bacterial small subunit ribosomal RNA
Source: RNAcentral